Molecule: ribosomal RNA, 450 nt
Filed under: uncultured bacterium
Lineage: Bacteria
Description: partial 16S ribosomal RNA
Rfam family: Bacterial small subunit ribosomal RNA
Source: RNAcentral
GUGGGGAAUAUUGGACAAUGGGCGAAAGCCUGAUCCACCCAUGCCGCGUGUGUGAAGAAGGUCUUCGGAUUGUAAAGCACUUUAAGUUGGGAGGAAGGGCAGUAAGUUAAUACCUUGCUGUUUUGACGUUACCGACAGAAUAAGCACCGGCUAACUUCGUGCCAGCAGCCGCGGUAAUACGAAGGGUGCAAGCGUUAAUCGGAAUUACUGGGCGUAAAGCGCGCGUAGGUGGUUCGUUAAGUUGGAUGUGAAAGCCCCGGGCUCAACCUGGGAACUGCAUCCAAAACUGGCGAGCUAGAGUACGGUAGAGGGUGGUGGAAUUUCCUGUGUAGCGGUGAAAUGCGUAGAUAUAGGAAGGAACACCAGUGGCGAAGGCGACCACCUGGACUGAUACUGACACUGAGGUGCGAAAGCGUGGGGAGCAAACAGGAUUAGAUACCCGAGUAGUCC